RNAcentral lists this ribosomal RNA (256 nucleotides) under uncultured Leptotrichia sp. RNAcentral describes it as "partial 16S ribosomal RNA". It matches the Rfam family "Bacterial small subunit ribosomal RNA", at positions 99 to 356 of the family's 1533-position model. Lineage: Bacteria; Fusobacteriati; Fusobacteriota; Fusobacteriia; Fusobacteriales; Leptotrichiaceae. The record is from RNAcentral.
CGGACGGGUGAGUAACGCGUAAAGAACUUGCCCUUUAGACUGGGAUAACAGAGGGAAACUUCUGAUAAUACUGGAUAAGUUAGUAUAUCGCAUGAUAUGCAAAUGAAAGCUACGGCACUAAAGGAGAGCUUUGCGUCCUAUUAGCUAGUUGGUAAGGUAUGAGCUUACCAAGGCGAUGAUAGGUAGCCGGCCUGAGAGGGUGGACGGCCACAAGGGGACUGAGAUACGGCCCUUACUCCUACGGGAGGCAGCAGCG